GCAGGGACGGACCAGGCUCCUUUGGGGUUCUGAGCAUUGCCAUGAAGCUUCAGCCUUAGCAGCAGCUGCCAUGCCCAUUGACUAAAGGAAGCUUCAGGGGACACGCCCAGACGAAGAACACUGGCGAGGUAUGACACCUGGUGGGAGAAGGUAAGAGAGAGAAAGAUGGAACAAAAGGCAGAGUUCUAUCUCUCGAUUUGAUGAUUCCAUGAGCAGAGAGUGGAUGUAUCACCUGUUUGAUUCCCUCUGAUAUGAGGCCACUGUACGGUUUGUCAGUGAGGUACUUCUGAUAGGCUUCAGCCACCAGCAGAGCCACUUCACUGUGAAGAGAUGAAGGCAGGGCCAAGGAGCCAUCCUGAAAGAACCCCAAUCCAGACCCUCCAGGAUGACACACGCUAGACGGUUCUCCACAGCAGAGAGAGGAUGCUGGAGCAGCCAGGCUCCAAUCACACAUAUCUCCUCUGGACGUGGCUGCCACAGACUCAGAGGCAGCUCUUUGCACAAGUACAGAGCCACCUAAAGAAACACACAUAUGUGAACACAGCCCGAGGAAUAAGGAAAUUAGAUAUUCUUCUUUCAGUUUGGUCAAAUGUGUGCAGUAAAAUGUUCAAGUCUCAAUACAUCAGCAAUACCAACCA
Notolabrus celidotus (New Zealand spotty) is the source of this 638-nucleotide long non-coding RNA. RefSeq lists it as uncharacterized. Lineage: Eukaryota; Metazoa; Chordata; Actinopteri; Labriformes; Labridae. The transcript has 2 exons. The record is from RefSeq and is a predicted model, not a curated record.